Long non-coding RNA from Coffea arabica (coffee), 1028 nucleotides. RefSeq lists it as uncharacterized. The record is from RefSeq and is a predicted model, not a curated record. NCBI's taxonomy places the organism in Eukaryota, Viridiplantae, Streptophyta, Magnoliopsida, Gentianales, Rubiaceae.
UGGACCAAGACACAUGGAAAGAAAAGCAGAAGAGAUAAGACACCCAACUUCCAAGAAAGGUUCCAUUUUCCAGUACCAAACGCAACUUGCCUUAGUGGUGGUGGUGACCAGGUCUACUAAUCAAUUUCCUAGCAGUUUCUUUUGGGGGAUUGCAUCUGUGUAUAUAUAUAUAUAUUAUACAUAUAUAUUGGACAUGAAGCACCAUGCCAUGCUAAUCCAUGGUGGGAGUUACUGAGUAAGAGGGAAAGGCAGAUAGAUCUGCAGGAAGUUUUGGGAAUGGGCUGCUAGGGAUGGAAGCGACUAAAAAGUGAAUCCCUUUCCUAGCCCGCCCAUUCCUAUGAUUUCCUGUGGUUCCUUUCUUUCCCUACCUUGCUUGUUUGAUUAAAUCCAAUUCAUCUGAUCCCCUGCUUUCUGGACUGGUGGAAAUUUAGCAGCUCAGAGUGGAAGAUAUUAAUUAAGCUGCCGGUUUUACUCAGGUUUUUUUUUUGAAAAAAAGCAGCUCUCUGAUCUUUUUGGUUUCCAUGCGUGCUUAUUCAUCGUUGAGAAAAAUUCUGCAAAAAAAAAAAAAGGAAGUGAAAAAGAGAAAUACUCUGUCCUUGAGAAAGACGAACAGGAGACCUUAAGCAUAUGGGUUUAUCGGCAGAAAGACCUUUGGUGCUUGGAUCAUAAGAUGAAAAGCUACAGCUUUGUGAAGGAACUUCAAUUUCUACAGGAACUAAUUGAAGUAGAUCUUACAAGUAUGAGUAGAUCUUGGCUUUAAAUUCUAUUUAGAUGCUUCUGCAACAAAAUUGAACGUACAUAAGCCAAAUCUAAAGCAGGUCAUAUAACCAAUGCUAAACUUGGUUCAAAAUCACUCACUGAAGUGGCUUGGAAAUCCAUGAACAAUUAGCUAUACAAUUCCUCUGGACGGUUUUUUUUUGUUUUUGCCUUUAUUUUUUGGGGAUUAAAUACUUGGAAUGAAUCCUGAAUUUCCGCCAGUAGGAUUUGCCUGGCCAAAUAAAGAAAGGGGAUGUACGAGUUGAAUCUCA